RNAcentral lists this ribosomal RNA (147 nucleotides) under uncultured bacterium. Its description in RNAcentral is "partial 16S ribosomal RNA". It matches the Rfam family "Bacterial small subunit ribosomal RNA", at positions 359 to 532 of the family's 1533-position model. The record is from RNAcentral.
CGUUGCGAUGCGCGCAGCCUGACGCAGCCUGCCGCGUGAGGGAUGACGGCCUUCGGGUUGUAACCUCUUUCUCAGGGACGAAAAUGACGGUACCUGUAGAAUAAGCACCGGCUAACUUCGUGCCACCCGCCGCGGUAAUGAGCUAGC